CACAGAGGAAGCUCAUCAGUGGGGCCAAGUGCUUAGUGCUCGUCACUCCCCGACCCCUGGGAAGGUCUGAGACUGGGGCCUCCUGUGGCCAUAAUUGGGCCCUCCCCGAAUGAGGAGGUGAGUUCUCAGAGAGCAGGGCUCCACUCGUGGGCAGACUGGGCAGGAACCUAGAGGUAGGAACAGAAACUGAGACCGUAGAGGAACACUGCUCACUGGCUUGCUCAGCUUGCUUUCUUAUACAACCUAGGCCUUUAGAUGUUAAUUUCCAAUAUG
Ribozyme from Cricetulus griseus (Chinese hamster), 273 nucleotides. It matches the Rfam family "Nuclear RNase P". From Rfam's summary of the family: Ribonuclease P (RNase P) is a ubiquitous endoribonuclease, found in archaea, bacteria and eukarya as well as chloroplasts and mitochondria. Its best characterised activity is the generation of mature 5'-ends of tRNAs by cleaving the 5'-leader elements of precursor-tRNAs. Lineage: Eukaryota; Metazoa; Chordata; Mammalia; Rodentia; Cricetidae. The record is from Ensembl.